RNAcentral lists this ribosomal RNA (470 nucleotides) under uncultured bacterium. Its description in RNAcentral is "bacterial SSU rRNA". It matches the Rfam family "Bacterial small subunit ribosomal RNA", at positions 791 to 1260 of the family's 1533-position model. The record is from RNAcentral.
UAGUCCACGCCGUAAACGAUCAUCACUCGCUGUUGGCGAUAUACUGUCAGCGGCCAAGCGAAAGUAUUAAGUGAUGCACCUGGGGAGUACGCCGGCAACGGUGAAACUCAAAGGAAUUGACGGGGGCCCGCACAAGCGGUGGAGCAUGUGGUUUAAUUCGAUGAUACGCGAGGAACCUUACCAGGGCUUAAAUGUAGUAUGACCGGUCUGGAAACAGGCCUUCCCUUCGGGGCAGAUUACAAGGUGCUGCAUGGUUGUCGUCAGCUCGUGCCGUGAGGUGUUAGGUUAAGUCCUGCAACGAGCGCAACCCCCUAUUCUUAGUUGCCAGCGGUUCGGCCGGGGACUCUAAGAAGACUGCCAGCGCAAGCUGAGAGGGAGGUGGGGAUGACGUCAAAUCAUCACGGCCCUUACGGUCCUGGGGCCACGACACGUGCUACAAUGGCCGGUACAGAGAGCAGGCCACUACGCGA